UGGGGAAUAUUGGACAAUGGGCGAAAGCCUGAUCCAGCCAUGCCGCGUGUGUGAAAGAAGGUCUUCGGAUUGUAAAGCACUUUAAGUUGGGAGGAAGGGCAGUAAAGUUAAAUACCUUGCUGUUUUUGACGUUUCCCAACAGAAAUAAGCCCCCGGCCUACUUCGUGCCCAGCAGCCGCGGUAAUUCCGAAGGGUGCAAGCGUUAAUCGGAAUUACUGGGCGUAAAGCGCGCGUAGGUGGUUCAGCAAAGUGGAUGUGAAAAUCCCGGGCUCAACCUGGGAACUGCAUUCAAAACUACUGAGCUAGAGUACGGUAGAGGGUGGUGGAAUUUCCUGUGUAGCGGUGAAAUGCGUAGAUAUAGGAAGGAACACCAGUNGCGAAGGCGACCACCUGGACUGAUACUGACACUGAGGUNCGAAAGCGUGGGGAGCAAACAGGAUUAGAUACCCUGGUAGUCCNCGCCGUAAACGAUGUCGNCUANCGUUGGGAUCCUUGAGAUCUUAGUUGCGCAGCUAACGCGAUAAGUCGACCGCCUGGGGAGUACGGCCGCAAGGUUA
This 557-nucleotide ribosomal RNA is filed under the name uncultured bacterium. Its description in RNAcentral is "bacterial SSU rRNA". It matches the Rfam family "Bacterial small subunit ribosomal RNA", at positions 355 to 896 of the family's 1533-position model. The record is from RNAcentral.